This 393-nucleotide ribosomal RNA is filed under the name uncultured bacterium. RNAcentral's name for it is "partial 16S ribosomal RNA". It matches the Rfam family "Bacterial small subunit ribosomal RNA", at positions 523 to 918 of the family's 1533-position model. The record is from RNAcentral.
AUACGGAGGAUGCGAGCGUUAUCCGGAUUUAUUGGGUUUAAAGGGAGCGUAGGUGGGAUAUUAAGUCAGCUGUGAAAGUUUGGGGCUCAACCUUAAAAUUGCAGUUGAUACUGGUUUCCUUGAGUACGGUACAGGUGGGCGGAAUUCGUGGUGGAGCGGUGAAAUGCUUAGAUAUCACGAAGAACUCCGAUCGCGAAGGCAGCUUACUAAGCUGUUACUGACGCUGAGGCACGAAAGCGUGGGGAUCAAACAGGAUUAGAUACCCUGGUAGUCCACGCUGUAAACGAUGAUUACUGGUUGUUAGCGAUAUAUAGCUAGUGACUGAGCGAAAGCAUUAAGUAAUCCACCUGGGGAGUACGUCGGCAACGAUGAAACUCAAAUGAAUUGACGGGG